GUUGUAUGGUUAAGUGACUAAGCGUACACGGUGGAUGCCUUGGCAGUCAGAGGCGAUGAAGGACGUAUUAACUUGCGAUAAGCCCAGAUUAGGUAGUAAAAACCAUUUGAGUCUGGGAUUUCCGAAUGGGGAAACCCACUUGCAUAAGCAAGUAUCGCUGCGUGAAUACAUAGCGCAGCGAGGCGAACCGGGGGAACUGAAACAUCUAAGUACCCCGAGGAAAAGAAAUCAACCGAGAUUCCGAAAGUAGCGGCGAGCGAAAUUGGACUAGCCCUUAAGCUUUUUAUGCGUCAGGUGAAACUUCUGGAAAGUUGUGCGAUACAGGGUGAUAGCCCCGUAACCGGCAACGCAUAUAAAGUGAAAUCGAGUAGGGCGGGACACGUGAUAUCCUGUCUGAAUAUGGGGGGACCAUCCUCCAAGGCUAAAUACUACUGACUGACCGAUAGUGAACCAGUACCGUGAGGGAAAGGCGAAAAAGAACCCCUGUGAGGGGAGUGAAAUAGAACCUGAAACCGUGUACGUACAAGCAGUAGGAGCACCUUCGUGGUGUGACUGCGUACCUUUUGUAUAAUGGGUCAGCGACUUAUAUUCAGUGGCAAGGUUAACCAUCUAGGGGAGCCGUAGCGAAAGCGAGUGUUAACUGCGCGACUCAGUCGCUGGAUAUAGACCCGAAACCAGGUGAUCUAGCCAUGGGCAGGUUGAAGAUUGAGUAACAUCAAUUGGAGGACCGAACCGACUAAUGUUGAAAAAUUAGCGGAUGACUUGUGGCUAGGGGUGAAAGGCCAAUCAAACCUGGAGAUAGCUGGUUCUCCCCGAAAGCUAUUUAGGUAGCGCCUCGGACGAAUACUACUGGGGGUAGAGCACUGUUAAGGCUAGGGGGUCAUCCCGACUUACCAACCCUUUGCAAACUCCGAAUACCAGUAAGUACUAUCCGGGAGACACACGGCGGGUGCUAACGUCCGUCGUGGAGAGGGAAACAACCCAGACCGCCAGCUAAGGUCCCAAAUUACUACUAAGUGGGAAACGAUGUGGGAAGGCUCAGACAGCCAGGAUGUUGGCUUAGAAGCAGCCAUCAUUUAAAGAAAGCGUAAUAGCUCACUGGUCGAGUCGGCCUGCGCGGAAGAUGUAACGGGGCUAAGUAGUAAACCGAAGCUGCGGCAAUGCACUUUGUGCAUUGGGUAGGGGAGCGUUCUGUAAGCGGUUGAAGGUGUGUGGUAACGCAUGCUGGACGUAUCAGAAGUGCGAAUGCUGACAUGAGUAACGAUAAAGGGGGUGAAAAACCUCCUCGCCGGAAGACCAAGGGUUCCUGUCCAACGUUAAUCGGGGCAGGGUAAGUCGACCCCUAAGGCGAGGCCGAAAGGCGUAGUCGAUGGGAAACGGGUUAAUAUUCCCGUACUUCUUACAAUUGCGAUGGGGGGACGGAGAAGGCUAGGUGGGCCUGGCGACGGUUGUCCAGGUUCAAGUGCGUAGGCUGAGAGAUUAGGUAAAUCCGGUUUCUCUUAAGGCUGAGACACGACGUCGAGCUACUACGGUAGUGAAGUCAUUGAUGCCAUGCUUCCAGGAAAAGCCUCUAAGCUUCAGAUUGUAAGGAAUCGUACCCCAAACCGACACAGGUGGUCGGGUAGAGAAUACCAAGGCGCUUGAGAGAACUCGGGUGAAGGAACUAGGCAAAAUGGUACCGUAACUUCGGGAGAAGGUACGCUCUUGAUGGUGAAGUCCCUUGCGGAUGGAGCUGACGAGAGUCGCAGAUACCAGGUGGCUGCAACUGUUUAUUAAAAACACAGCACUGUGCAAAAUCGUAAGAUGACGUAUACGGUGUGACGCCUGCCCGGUGCCGGAAGGUUAAUUGAUGGGGUUAGACUUCGGUCGAAGCUCUUGAUCGAAGCCCCGGUAAACGGCGGCCGUAACUAUAACGGUCCUAAGGUAGCGAAAUUCCUUGUCGGGUAAGUUCCGACCUGCACGAAUGGCGUAAUGAUGGCCACGCUGUCUCCACCCGAGACUCAGUGAAAUUGAAAUCGCUGUGAAGAUGCAGUGUACCCGCGGCUAGACGGAAAGACCCCGUGAACCUUUACUACAGCUUGGCACUGAACAUUGACCCUACAUGUGUAGGAUAGGUGGGAGGCUUUGAAGCAAGUACGCCAGUAUUUGUGGAGCCGUCCUUGAAAUACCACCCUUGUAGUGUUGAUGUUCUAACGUUGACCCCUAAUCGGGGUUGCGGACAGUGCCUGGUGGGUAGUUUGACUGGGGCGGUCUCCUCCCAAAGAGUAACGGAGGAGCACGAAGGUGGGCUAAUCACGGUUGGACAUCGUGAGGUUAGUGCAAUGGCAUAAGCCCGCUUGACUGCGAGAAUGACAAUUCGAGCAGGUGCGAAAGCAGGUCAUAGUGAUCCGGUGGUUCUGAAUGGAAGGGCCAUCGCUCAACGGAUAAAAGGUACUCCGGGGAUAACAGGCUGAUACCGCCCAAGAGUUCAUAUCGACGGCGGUGUUUGGCACCUCGAUGUCGGCUCAUCACAUCCUGGGGCUGAAGUCGGUCCCAAGGGUAUGGCUGUUCGCCAUUUAAAGUGGUACGCGAGCUGGGUUUAGAACGUCGUGAGACAGUUCGGUCCCUAUCUGCCGUGGGCGUUGGAAGAUUGAAGGGGGCUGCUCCUAGUACGAGAGGACCGGAGUGGACGAACCUCUGGUGUUCGGGUUGUGUCGCCAGACGCAUUGCCCGGUAGCUAAGUUCGGAAUCGAUAACCGCUGAAAGCAUCUAAGCGGGAAGCGAGCCCUGAGAUGAGUCUUCCCUGAUACUUUAAGUAUCCUAAAGGGUUGUUCGAGACUAGAACGUUGAUAGGCAGGGUGUGUAAGCGUUGUGAGGCGUUGAGCUAACCUGUACUAAUUGCCCGUGAGGCUUAACCAUACAACACCCAAGGGGUUU
This 2916-nucleotide ribosomal RNA is filed under the name Vibrio owensii. Its description in RNAcentral is "23S ribosomal RNA". It matches the Rfam family "Bacterial large subunit ribosomal RNA". Lineage: Bacteria; Pseudomonadati; Pseudomonadota; Gammaproteobacteria; Vibrionales; Vibrionaceae. The record is from RNAcentral.